RNAcentral lists this ribosomal RNA (584 nucleotides) under Flavobacterium sp. FlavoEI_CoT2r3AF2_F01_06. RNAcentral's name for it is "bacterial SSU rRNA". It matches the Rfam family "Bacterial small subunit ribosomal RNA", at positions 66 to 651 of the family's 1533-position model. Lineage: Bacteria; Pseudomonadati; Bacteroidota; Flavobacteriia; Flavobacteriales; Flavobacteriaceae. The record is from RNAcentral.
GGGGUAUUUAUCUUCGGAUAGAGAGACCGGCGCACGGGUGCGUAACGCGUAUGCAAUCUACCUUUUACAGAGGGAUAGCCCAGAGAAAUUUGGAUUAAUACCUCAUAGUAUAUAGACUCGGCAUCGAGAUUAUAUUAAAGUCACAACGGUAAAAGAUGAGCAUGCGUCCCAUUAGCUAGUUGGUAAGGUAACGGCUUACCAAGGCUACGAUGGGUAGGGGUCCUGAGAGGGAGAUCCCCCACACUGGUACUGAGACACGGACCAGACUCCUACGGGAGGCAGCAGUGAGGAAUAUUGGACAAUGGGCGCAAGCCUGAUCCAGCCAUGCCGCGUGCAGGAUGACGGUCCUAUGGAUUGUAAACUGCUUUUAUACGAGAAGAAACACUGCUACGUGUAGCAGCUUGACGGUAUCGUAAGAAUAAGGAUCGGCUAACUCCGUGCCAGCAGCCGCGGUAAUACGGAGGAUCCAAGCGUUAUCCGGAAUCAUUGGGUUUAAAGGGUCCGUANGCGGUUUAAUAAGUCAGUGGUGAAAGCCCAUCGCUCAACGGUGGAACGGCCAUUGAUACUGGUAGACUUGAAUUAUU